RNAcentral lists this ribosomal RNA (289 nucleotides) under Francisella tularensis subsp. holarctica. RNAcentral describes it as "partial 23S ribosomal RNA". It matches the Rfam family "Bacterial large subunit ribosomal RNA", at positions 2358 to 2646 of the family's 2925-position model. Lineage: Bacteria; Pseudomonadati; Pseudomonadota; Gammaproteobacteria; Thiotrichales; Francisellaceae. The record is from RNAcentral.
CAAAAGUGCGCUUGACUGCGAGAGUGACGGCUCGAUCAGGUCCGAAAGUAGGUCUUCGUGAUCCGGUGGUCCCGAAUGGAAGGGUCAUCGCUCAACGGAUAAAAGGUACUCCGGGGAUAACAGGCUAAUUACUCCCAAGAGUUCAUAUCGACGGAGGAGUUUGGCACCUCGAUGUCGGCUCAUCACAUCCUGGGUCUGAAGUAGGUCCCAAGGGUAUGGCUGUUCGCCAUUUUAAGUGGUACGCUAGAUGGGUUCAGAACGUCGUGAGACAGUUCGGUCCCUAUCUGCC